This 73-nucleotide transfer RNA is filed under the name Capra hircus (goat). RNAcentral's name for it is "tRNA-Ser". It matches the Rfam family "tRNA". Rfam says of the family: Transfer RNA (tRNA) molecules are approximately 80 nucleotides in length. The record is from RNAcentral. RNAcentral also lists the same sequence under 1 other name. Lineage: Eukaryota; Metazoa; Chordata; Mammalia; Artiodactyla; Bovidae.
UCCCUGGUAGCUCAGAGGUUAAAGCGUCUGCCUGGAAUGCAGGAGACCCAGGUUCGAUCCCUGGGUCAGGAAG